UGGGGAAUAUUGCACAAUGGGCGCAAGCCUGAUGCAGCCAUGCCGCGUGUAUGAAGAAGGCCUUCGGGCUGUAAAGUACUUUCAGCGGGGAGGAAGGUGUUGUGGUUAAUAACCACAGCAAUUGACGUUACCCGCAGAAGAAGCACCGGCUAACUCCGUGCCAGCAGCCGCGGUAAUACGGAGGGUGCAAGCGUUAAUCGGAAUUACUGGGCGUAAAGCGCACGCAGGCGGUCUGUCAAGUCGGAUGUGAAAUCCCCGGGCUCAACCUGGGAACUGCAUCCGAAACUGGCAGGCUUGAGUCUUGUAGAGGGGGGUAGAAUUCCAGGUGUAGCGGUGAAAUGCGUAGAGAUCUGGAGGAAUACCGGUGGCGAAGGCGGCCCCCUGGACAAAGACUGACGCUCAGGUGCGAAAGCGUGGGGAGCAAACA
This 427-nucleotide ribosomal RNA is filed under the name uncultured bacterium. RNAcentral describes it as "partial 16S ribosomal RNA". It matches the Rfam family "Bacterial small subunit ribosomal RNA", at positions 355 to 774 of the family's 1533-position model. The record is from RNAcentral.